ACAAGCGGUGGAGUAUGUGGUUUAAUUCGAUGCAACGCGAAGAACCUUACCUGGUCUUGACAUCCCGGAGACCCUUAGGAAACUAGGGGUGCUUCCAUCUGGAAGAAUCUGGAGACAGGUGCUGCAUGGCUGUCGUCAGCUCGUGUCGUGAGAUGUUGGGUUAAGUCCCGCAACGAGCGCAACCCUUGCCUUUAGUUGCCAGCAGUUCGGCUGGGCACUCUAAAGGGACUGCCGGUGUUAAGCCGGAGGAAGGUGGGGAUGACGUCAAGUCCUCAUGGCCUUUAUGACCAGGGCUACACACGUACUACAAUGGCCGAUACAAAGGGCAGCGACACUGCGAGGUGAAGCCAAUCCCGUAAAAUCGGUCUCAGUCCGGAUUGGAGUCUGCAACUCGACUCCAUGAAGUUGGAAUCGCUAGUAAUCGUGGAUCAGCAUGCCACGGUGAAUACGUUCCCGGGCCUU
Molecule: ribosomal RNA, 462 nt
Filed under: uncultured Desulfobulbus sp.
Lineage: Bacteria; Pseudomonadati; Thermodesulfobacteriota; Desulfobulbia; Desulfobulbales; Desulfobulbaceae
Description: bacterial SSU rRNA
Rfam family: Bacterial small subunit ribosomal RNA
Source: RNAcentral